AUCUUUCAAUAGUUUGGUCUUUGUAAAGAUGAGAUUUUGCUUUGUGUUUGUGUGGAUGAUAGAUAUCUCUAAGCAGUGAGAAUGAGAGAGAUAUUGUUGAGGUGUGUAUGGACUGAUAAACCAAUGUUUCAAGUUGUAAAAUUCACAUUGCUCAUAAAAUAUCUGAAGAAGAGACUGAGGAAGAGUUUGAAGUCAAGGAAUGCACUAACGAUGAGUUUCAUGUACAUGUGGAUACUAGUAUUCCGGUGUACAUGUGGCCAUCGGUUUCAGGUGUACAUGUGGAUACUGAACUUUCGUGUACAUGUAGAUAGUAUACUUCAAUGUACAUGUGUUUUGAGAUGAAAUUUAUUUCUAUAAUAAGUCUAUGUGUGCUCAAACUCAUAUGU
Molecule: long non-coding RNA, 386 nt
Filed under: Brassica napus (rape)
Lineage: Eukaryota; Viridiplantae; Streptophyta; Magnoliopsida; Brassicales; Brassicaceae
Description: long non-coding RNA (BNAP_LNC015326)
Source: RNAcentral